This 454-nucleotide ribosomal RNA is filed under the name [Candida] sp. CBS 6396. RNAcentral describes it as "eukaryotic LSU rRNA". The stretch from base 240 to 454 matches the Rfam family "Eukaryotic large subunit ribosomal RNA", at positions 1 to 239 of the family's 3401-position model. The record is from RNAcentral. Lineage: Eukaryota; Fungi; Ascomycota; Saccharomycetes; Saccharomycetales.
AUACGAAACCAAAACUUUCAACAACGGAUCUCUUGGUUCUCGCAUCGAUGAAGAACGCAGCAAAGCGCGAUAGGUAAUGCGAAUUGCAGACGUGAGUCAUUGAAUCUUUGAACGCACAUUGCGCCAGUUUACUGGCAUACUGCGUUGAGCGUCGGCCUUCCUCCACAGGUAUUGCUGUUUCUAACAGUCAAAGGCAUGGAAAUGCACCCGUUAACCGACCGGUGUUUACCACAAAAAUUCGACCUCAGCGUAGUAAGAUCACCCGCUGAACUUAAGCAUAUCAAUAAGCGGAGGAAAAGAAACCAACAGGGAUUGCCCUAGUAAUGGCGAAUGAACAGGCAAAAGCUCAGAUUUGAAACCUUCGGGAUUGUAGUCUGGAGACCUAGAUUUGGAAGCCGACCAAGUCUUCUGGAAUGGAGCGCCAUGGAGGGUGACAGCCCCGUAGCGGCACCGC